UACGUAGGGGGCGAGCGUUAUCCGGAUUCACUGGGUGUAAAGGGAGCGUAGACGGCCAAGCAAGCCAGGGGUGAAAGCCCGGGGCCCAACCCCGGGACUGCCCUUGGAACUGCAUGGCUGGAGUGCGGGAGGGGCAGGCGGAAUUCCUGGUGUAGCGGUGAAAUGCGUAGAUAUCAGGAGGAACACCGGCGGCGAAGGCGGCCUGCUGAAUCGCGACUGACGUUGAGGCUCGAAAGCGUGGGGAGCGAACAGG
RNAcentral lists this ribosomal RNA (253 nucleotides) under uncultured bacterium. RNAcentral's name for it is "partial 16S ribosomal RNA". It matches the Rfam family "Bacterial small subunit ribosomal RNA", at positions 524 to 776 of the family's 1533-position model. The record is from RNAcentral.